UGUCAGCUGAUUACGUCACGUGAUCCGGUUUCGAGUUGUUUCUGUUUCAAAAUGGAGUUGUCUGAGUCGGUGCAGAAAAGGGCUGCAGUCUCUAGCAGAGCCGACGCUUUUCGACCUGAAAACUUUCUCCGUGUUGAUAGAAUUAGCCUUUCGCAGCUUGCUAACCGGCCAUGCCGACCGUAGUGUUCUCGAUCAACCUGAAUUGAAACCGUAUUGACCAGAAGUUGCUGAAACAUUGUCACACAGCUGCCACCACCUGCAUACUGGAGGGGGUCAAACAAAACGUGGACAAAUCCACUAUAAGCUUGUGACUGGAGGAUGUCAGGUUUGACGGGGAGAGAACAGAUGUAUUCUACAUCACAUACCAGGAUUUGGUGGGAAAGAUGAAAGACGCUGCCAAGAGUCUUGAGAAGGCUGUGCAGUUGUGAGCUUAGCCUGCUCGAACGGUGGAAUCCGGUUUCUCACGUGAUCUCCUCUGCUUCCUUCAUCUCCUGAAAGCACUGAAGUUCAGCGAUUUCAAGCGGCGUUGAUAUCCGCUUUGUAUUUUAUACUCAUUUCAUUCGUCAUUAAAUAUAUUUGUAUCCGUUCAA
Molecule: long non-coding RNA, 590 nt
Organism: Salmo salar (Atlantic salmon)
Lineage: Eukaryota; Metazoa; Chordata; Actinopteri; Salmoniformes; Salmonidae
Source: RefSeq, a predicted model, not a curated record